CCUACGGGAGGCAGCAGUGAGGAAUAUUGGUCAAUGGUCGGGAGACUGAACCAGCCAAGCCGCGUGAGGGAUGAAGGUACAGAGUAUCGUAAACCUCUUUUGUCAGGGAACAAAGGCGGGGACGUGUCCCCGGAUGAGUGUACCUGAAGAAAAAGCAUCGGCUAACUCCGUGCCAGCAGCCGCGGUAAUACGGAGGAUGCGAGCGUUAUCCGGAUUUAUUGGGUUUAAAGGGUGCGCAGGCGGACUGUCAAGUCAGCGGUAAAAGCCCGGGGCUCAACCCCGGCCCGCCGUUGAAACUGGCAGUCUCGAGUUGGAGAGAAGUAUGCGGAAUGCGCGGUGUAGCGGUGAAAUGCAUAGAUAUCGCGCAGAACUCCGAUUGCGAAGGCAGCAUGCCGGCUCCACACUGACGCUGAUGCACGAAAGCGUGGGUAUCGAACAGGAUUAGAUACCCUGGUAGUC
Molecule: ribosomal RNA, 459 nt
Filed under: uncultured bacterium
Lineage: Bacteria
Description: partial 16S ribosomal RNA
Rfam family: Bacterial small subunit ribosomal RNA
Source: RNAcentral